GAUGAACGCUGGCGGCGUGCCUAAUACAUGCAAGUCGAGCGAACGGACGAGAAGCUUGCUUCUCUGAUGUUAGCGGCGGACGGGUGAGUAACACGUGGAUAACCUACCCAUAAGACUGGGAUAACUUCGGGAAACCGGAGCUAAUACCGGAUAAUAUUUUGAACCGCAUGGUUCAAAAGUGAAAGACGGUCUUGCUGUCACUUAUAGAUGGAUCCGCGCUGCAUUAGCUAGUUGGUAAGGUAACGGCUUACCAAGGCAACGAUGCAUAGCCGACCUGAGAGGGUGAUCGGCCACACUGGAACUGAGACACGGUCCAGACUCCUACGGGAGGCAGCAGUAGGGAACCUUCCGCAAUGGGCGAAAGCCUGACGGAGCAACGCCGCGUGAGUGAUGAAGGUCUUCGGAUCGUAAAACUCUGUUAUUAGGGAAGAACAUAUGUGUAAGUAACUGUGCACAUCUUGACGGUACCUAAUCAGAAAGCCACGGCUAACUACGUGCCAGCAGCCGCGGUAAUACGUAGGUGGCAAGCGUUAUCCGGAAUUAUUGGGCGUAAAGCGCGCGUAGGCGGUUUUUUAAGUCUGAUGUGAAAGCCCACGGCUCAACCGUGGAGGGUCAUUGGAAACUGGAAAACUUGAGUGCAGAAGAGGAAAGUGGAAUUCCAUGUGUAGCGGUGAAAUGCGCAGAGAUAUGGAGGAACACCAGUGGCGAAGGCGACUUUCUGGUCUGUAACUGACGCUGAUGUGCGAAAGCGUGGGGAUCAAACAGGAUUAGAUACCCUGGUAGUCCACGCCGUAAACGAUGAGUGCUAAGUGUUAGGGGGUUUCCGCCCCCUAGUGCUGCAGCUAACGCAUUAAGCACUCCGCCUGGGGAGUACGACCGCAAGGUUGAAACUCAAAGGAAUUGACGGGGACCCGCACAAGCGGUGGAGCAUGUGGUUUAAUUCGAAGCAACGCGAAGAACCUUACCAAAUCUUGACAUCCUUUGACAACUCUAGAGAUAGAGCUUUCCCCUUCGGGGGACAAAGUGACAGGUGGUGCAUGGUUGUCGUCAGCUCGUGUCGUGAGAUGUUGGGUUAAGUCCCGCAACGAGCGCAACCCUUAAGCUUAGUUGCCAUCAUUAAGUUGGGCACUCUAAGUUGACUGCCGGUGACAAACCGGAGGAAGGUGGGGAUGACGUCAAAUCAUCAUGACCCUUAUGAUUUGGGCUACACACGUGCUACAAUGGACAAUACAAAGGGCAGCGAAACCGUGAGGUCAAGCAAAUCCCAUAAAGUUGUUCUCAGUUCGGAUUGUAGUCUGCAACUCGACUACAUGAAGCUGGAAUCGCUAGUAAUCGUAGAUCAGCAUGCUACGGUGAAUACGUUCCCGGGUCU
This 1372-nucleotide ribosomal RNA is filed under the name uncultured bacterium. RNAcentral's name for it is "bacterial SSU rRNA". It matches the Rfam family "Bacterial small subunit ribosomal RNA", at positions 28 to 1381 of the family's 1533-position model. The record is from RNAcentral.